RNAcentral lists this ribosomal RNA (557 nucleotides) under uncultured Pezizomycotina. RNAcentral describes it as "SSU rRNA". It matches the Rfam family "Eukaryotic small subunit ribosomal RNA", at positions 196 to 766 of the family's 1831-position model. The record is from RNAcentral. Lineage: Eukaryota; Fungi; Ascomycota.
GGAAGGGRUGUAUUUAUUAGAUAAAAAACCAAUGCCCUUCGGGGCUCCUUGGUGAUUCAUGAUAACUUAACGAAUCGCAUGGCCUUGUGCCGGCGAUGGUUCAUUCAAAUUUCUGCCCUAUCAACUUUCGAUGGUAGGAUAGUGGCCUACCAUGGUUUCAACGGGUAACGGGGAAUUAGGGUUCUAUUCCGGAGAGGGAGCCUGAGAAACGGCUACCACAUCCAAGGAAGGCAGCAGGCGCGCAAAUUACCCAAUCCCGACACGGGGAGGUAGUGACAAUAAAUACUGAUGCAGAGCUCUUUUGGGUUUUGCAAUUGGAAUGAGUACAAUUUAAAUCCCUUAACGAGGAACAAUUGGAGGGCAAGUCUGGUGCCAGCAGCCGCGGUAAUUCCAGCUCCAAUAGCGUAUAUUAAAGUUGUUGCAGUUAAAAAGCUCGUAGUUGAACCUUGGGCCUGGCUGGCCGGUCCGCCUCACCGCGUGCACUGGUCCGGCCGGGCCUUUCCUUCUGGGGAGCCGCAUGCCCUUCACUGGGUGUGUCGGGGAACCAGGACUUUUAC